This is a non-coding RNA of Phoenix dactylifera (date palm), 682 nucleotides long. NCBI's taxonomy places the organism in Eukaryota, Viridiplantae, Streptophyta, Magnoliopsida, Arecales, Arecaceae. The record is from RefSeq and is a predicted model, not a curated record.
CCUUCAGCAUUGAAAAGAAGUGAAAAAGCAGAUACAGUAAAGUUUAAUGCUUCAGUGAAUACCCAAUUUUACGGUCUUUUUUAAAAAAAGGAAGUUGACAAACGAAACAACUACAUUUAUCAAAAGAUAAAUUUAUAUCUUUCCUAGAGUCAGCUUCAUCAACCUCAACACUUUUAUUUCUAUUUUAUAUAAUUUAUUUUCUUGGAAGCUCUUUAUUGCCUCGCAUCUUUCUCCUGUAAGUCACCGGACAUCUGCAUUAACAAUAUCUUAGGGCUGAAAAUGGGUCAGAUACUAAUUAGAUGCCCAUUUAAUAUAUGUAUCCCCAUUUUUAUUUGCUGAAAAAAUACCAAAAUAUGGAAACACCAAUAUCCAAUCCAUUUUCAGACCUAUCAUAUGCCAUACAAAAGGCUUCGAGCGUAGUGCCCUAGGUUGGAUUCCGUGACCUAAUGUGUAAGGCAAUUGCAUAAUAAGAAUCGUAUGGGCCCUCCACAUCCUAAGGGCUCGUUUGGUUCGCGAGAAAAGAAGGGGGAAAAGUGUGGUCAACGGAAAAGUAAUGAGAUGCCUCUUGUUUGGUUGGAGUUUUCAAAGGAGAGAGACGGGAAAGUUGUAUUUUCAUGGGAAUAUAAUUUCCACAUUUUAUGGAAAAGUCUUUUCUAUGAGAAACAUGGGAAAGUUACUUUUC